RNAcentral lists this ribosomal RNA (468 nucleotides) under uncultured bacterium. RNAcentral describes it as "partial 16S ribosomal RNA". It matches the Rfam family "Bacterial small subunit ribosomal RNA", at positions 28 to 507 of the family's 1533-position model. The record is from RNAcentral.
GACGAACGCUGGCGGCGUGCUUAACACAUGCAAGUCGAACGGAAAGGCCCUGCUUUUGUGGGGUGCUCGAGUGGCGAACGGGUGAGUAACACGUGAGUAACCUGCCCUUGACUUUGGGAUAACUUCAGGAAACUGGGGCUAAUACCGGAUAGGAGCUCCUGCUGCAUGGUGGGGGUUGGAAAGUUUCGGCGAUUGGGGAUGGACUCGCGGCUUAUCAGCUUGUUGGUGGGGUAGUGGCUUACCAAGGCUUUGACGGGUAGCCGGCCUGAGAGGGUGACCGGCCACAUUGGGACUGAGAUACGGCCCAGACUCCUACGGUAGGCAGCAGUGGGGAAUAUUGCACAAUGGGCGGAAGCCUGAUGCAGCAACGCCGCGUGCGGGAUGACGGCCUUCGGGUUGUAAACCGCUUUCGCCUGUGACGAAGCGUGAGUGACGGUAAUGGGUAAAGAAGCACCGGCCAACUACGUG